AUUGAACGCUGGCGGCAGGCCUAACACAUGCAAGUCGAGCGGAUGAGGGGUGCUUGCACUCUGAUUCAGCGGCGGACGGGUGAGUAAUGCCUAGGAAUCUGCCCGAUAGUGGGGGACAACGUUUCGAAAGGAACGCUAAUACCGCAUACGUCCUACGGGAGAGAGUGGGGGAUCUUCGGACCUCACGCUAUCGGAUGAGCCUAGGUCGGAUUAGCUAGUUGGUGAGGUAAUGGCUCACCAAGGCUACGAUCCGUAACUGGUCUGAGAGGAUGAUCAGUCACACUGGAACUGAGACACGGUCCAGACUCCUACGGGAGGCAGCAGUGGGGAAUAUUGGACAAUGGGCGAAAGCCUGAUCCAGCCAUGCCGCGUGUGUGAAGAAGGUCUUCGGAUUGUAAAGCACUUUAAGUUGGGAGGAAGGGCUGUAGGCUAAUAUCCUGCAGUUUUGGCGUUACCAACAGAAUAAGCACCGGCUAACUUCGUGCCAGCCGCCGCUGUAA
This 500-nucleotide ribosomal RNA is filed under the name uncultured bacterium. RNAcentral's name for it is "partial 16S ribosomal RNA". It matches the Rfam family "Bacterial small subunit ribosomal RNA", at positions 30 to 523 of the family's 1533-position model. The record is from RNAcentral.